UAGGGAAUCUUCCACAAUGGGCGAAAGCCUGAUGGAGCAACGCCGCGUGUGUGAUGAAGGUUUCGGCUCGUAAAACUCUGUUGUUAGAGAAGAACACGAGUGAGAGUAACUGUUCAUUCGAUGACGGUAUCUAACCAGCAAGUCACGGCUAACUACGUGCCAG
This 163-nucleotide ribosomal RNA is filed under the name uncultured bacterium. RNAcentral describes it as "partial 16S rRNA". It matches the Rfam family "Bacterial small subunit ribosomal RNA", at positions 355 to 511 of the family's 1533-position model. The record is from RNAcentral.